This 939-nucleotide ribosomal RNA is filed under the name Lacticaseibacillus rhamnosus. RNAcentral's name for it is "bacterial SSU rRNA". It matches the Rfam family "Bacterial small subunit ribosomal RNA", at positions 44 to 958 of the family's 1533-position model. The record is from RNAcentral. Lineage: Bacteria; Bacillati; Bacillota; Bacilli; Lactobacillales; Lactobacillaceae.
GUGCCAAACUUGCAAGUUCGAACGAGUUCUGAUAUUGAAAGGUGCUUGCAUCUUGAUUAAUUUUGAACGAGUGGCGGACGGGUGAGUAACACGUGGGUAACCUGCCCUUAAGUGGGGGAUAACAUUUGGAAACAGAUGCUAAUACCGCAUAAAUCCAAGAACCGCAUGGUUCUUGGCUGAAAGAUGGCGUAAGCUAUCGCUUUUGGAUGGACCCGCGGCGUAUUAGCUAGUUGGUGAGGUAACGGCUCACCAAGGCAAUGAUACGUAGCCGAACUGAGAGGUUGAUCGGCCACAUUGGGACUGAGACACGGCCCAAACUCCUACGGGAGGCAGCAGUAGGGAAUCUUCCACAAUGGACGCAAGUCUGAUGGAGCAACGCCGCGUGAGUGAAGAAGGCUUUCGGGUCGUAAAACUCUGUUGUUGGAGAAGAAUGGUCGGCAGAGUAACUGUUGUCGGCGUGACGGUAUCCAACCAGAAAGCCACGGCUAACUACGUGCCAGCAGCCGCGGUAAUACGUAGGUGGCAAGCGUUAUCCGGAUUUAUUGGGCGUAAAGCGAGCGCAGGCGGUUUUUUAAGUCUGAUGUGAAAGCCCUCGGCUUAACCCGAGGAAGUGCAUCGGAAACUGGGAAACUUGAGUGCAGAAGAGGACAGUGGAACUCCAUGUGUAGCGGUGAAAUGCGUAGAUAUAUGGAAGAACACCAGUGGCGAAAGCGGGUGUCUGGUCUGUAACUGACGCUGAAGCUCGAAAGCAUGGUAGCGAACAGGAUUAGAUACCCUGGUAGUCCAUGCCGUAACGAUGAAUGCUAGUGUUGGAGGGUUUCCGCCCUUCAGUGCUGCAGCUAUCGCAUUAAGCAUUCCGCCUGGGGAGUACGACCGCAAGGUUGAACUCANNNUNACGGGGCCGCANNNNGUGAAGCAUGUGUUAUCGAGCACGACGCA